RNAcentral lists this ribosomal RNA (465 nucleotides) under uncultured bacterium. Its description in RNAcentral is "partial 16S ribosomal RNA". It matches the Rfam family "Bacterial small subunit ribosomal RNA", at positions 28 to 507 of the family's 1533-position model. The record is from RNAcentral.
GACGAACGCUGGCGGCGUGCUUAACACAUGCAAGUCGAACGGAAAGGCCCUGCUUGCAGGGUACUCGAGUGGCGAACGGGGGAGUAACACGUGGGUGAUCUGCCCUGCACUUCGGGAUAAGCCUGGGAAACUGGGUCGAAUACCGGAGAGGAGCCAUCUUUAGUGUGAUGGUGGGAAAGUUUUUUCGGUGUAGGAUGAGCUCGCGGCCUAUCAGCUUGUUGGUGGGGUAAUGGCCUACCAAGGCGGCGACGGGUAGCCGGCCUGAGGGGGUGGACGGCCACAUUGGGGCCUGGGUACGGCCCAGACUCCUACGGGGGGCAGCAGUGGGGAAUAUUGCACAAUGGGCGCGAGCCUGAUGCAGCGACGCCGCGUGGGGGAUGACGGCCUUCGGGUUGUAAACUCCUUUCGCUAGGGACGAAGCUUUUUGUGACGGUACCUAGAAAAGAAGCACCGGCUAACUACGUG